This 336-nucleotide long non-coding RNA is filed under the name Nicotiana benthamiana. Its description in RNAcentral is "long non-coding RNA (NBEN_LNC042104)". Lineage: Eukaryota; Viridiplantae; Streptophyta; Magnoliopsida; Solanales; Solanaceae. The record is from RNAcentral.
UGUAGCCACCUUUGAAUCCCCCCCUCUCCCAAUUAUGUCUCAAGCUCCUUUCAGACCCUAGCAGCCUUUAAUCACCACCCCAAAAUCAACCAAAUCCAUGGCCUCCAAAGUCAUUGAAGGCAUGUACCUACCUCCUAUGACAACUACAUGCUCAAUUAUCAUAGUUUCAAGGACAGAUCUUGAAGGAGCUUGGUCUAGACCUUGAAUGAGCUUGGUCUAGACCUUGGAUGCUUUUAGUCCUAUGGCUGUUUCCGGCCAUCUUUGACCUUGUUCCGGCUAGCUAUGGCUAUUCAAGCCCGACUCCUGGCGUCGCUUGCUUAGACCAAUGACUUUCCA